GCAGGGUUGAUGAAUAACCUUCUGAGGCCGGGAGUUGGAAUUUAGCCGAAUUCCUGUCACUUUCUCCUGUAAUUUGACUGUGUGAUUCGUUGACAAGAAAAAGUGGCCCUGCGGAGGUGAGCCCUCCCCACACCCGAGGCUCUCCAGUGCUGCUGAAGCCUUUUGAAUUCACUCGUCUUCGAACAGAUCAGUCAUUAGGAAUUCUUCCCGCUUUCUUCAGGACUUGAUCCAGGGAAUCUCCAUCCAUGUGCUACCUGCAGAUACUGAUCUCGCCUCUCGCUGUAGAAUGCAC
Molecule: long non-coding RNA, 292 nt
Filed under: Homo sapiens (human)
Lineage: Eukaryota; Metazoa; Chordata; Mammalia; Primates; Hominidae
Description: HSALNT0134886
Source: RNAcentral